RNAcentral lists this ribosomal RNA (409 nucleotides) under uncultured bacterium. Its description in RNAcentral is "bacterial SSU rRNA". It matches the Rfam family "Bacterial small subunit ribosomal RNA", at positions 28 to 415 of the family's 1533-position model. The record is from RNAcentral.
AAUCAACGCUGGCGGCGUGCCUAACACAUGCAAGUCGAACGCGAAAGUCCCGCAAGGGAUGAGUAGCGUGGCGAACGGGUGAGUAACGCGUGGGUGACCUGCCGUCGAGUGGGGGAGUAACGUCUCGAAGGGACGGCUAAUACCGCAUGACAUCCGGCCUUUGGUAGAGGCGGAGAUCAAAGACUGGGGAGUCGCAAGACCUGGCGCUCGACGAGGGGCCCGGCGUCCGAUUAGCNGGUUGGGUGGGGGUAAGUGGCCUACCAAGGCGACGAUCGGUAGCCGGCCUAAGAGGGGCGGACGGCCACACUGGGACUGAGACACGGCCCAGACUCCUACGGGAGGCAGCAGUGGGGAAUUGUUCGCAAUGGGCGCAAGCCUGACGACGCAACGCCGCGUGGAGGACGAAGGC